UACGGGGGGGGCAAGCGUUGUUCGGAAUUACUGGGCGUAAAGGGCUCGUAGGCGGCCAACUAAGUCAGACGUGAAAUCCCCAGGCUUAACCUGGGAACUGCGUCUGAUACUGGAUGGCUUGAAUUCGGGAGAGGGAUGCAGAAUUCCAGGUGUAGCGGUGAAAUGCGUAGAUAUCUGGAGGAAUACCGGUGGCGAAGGCGGCAUCCUGGACCGAGAUUGACACUGAUGAGCGAAAGCCAGGGGAGCAAACGGG
This 253-nucleotide ribosomal RNA is filed under the name uncultured bacterium. RNAcentral describes it as "partial 16S ribosomal RNA". It matches the Rfam family "Bacterial small subunit ribosomal RNA", at positions 524 to 776 of the family's 1533-position model. The record is from RNAcentral.